GAAGACUGUGAUGCCCAAACCGAAUCAUUUGUUGUAACUGCCAAUCGGUUUGGAUUCCUAAGAUGAAAGGAUCAGUUUCGGUAGAGUCCUGGUAAUAGAACACUGAUUUCCUGUUCUUUUCGACCCAAAGGCGGAUACUAGCUUGGUCAUCCAGAUCCAAUUCGUGUGUAGAUCUUUUAAUUAUCAUUCCGACUUUUUGGACAAACUGAGAUGCAUGGU
RNAcentral lists this unclassified non-coding RNA (219 nucleotides) under Hevea brasiliensis (rubber tree). Lineage: Eukaryota; Viridiplantae; Streptophyta; Magnoliopsida; Malpighiales; Euphorbiaceae. The record is from RNAcentral.